UCUGAGAGACCGGUUGACAAAGC
RNAcentral lists this non-coding RNA (23 nucleotides) under Cricetulus griseus (Chinese hamster). The record is from RNAcentral. Lineage: Eukaryota; Metazoa; Chordata; Mammalia; Rodentia; Cricetidae.